AAUUAUAUUUGAACCCUAUAAAAGAUCAUGCAUUCACUGAAACUAAAGGCAACAUAGAAAACCAAGAAAUUAAACAAUGGCAAUGGUAGUGAGCACUAGAGUUGUUGUCAUGGCCUUCCUCAUUGUGUGCAUGGUGAUGAUCACUACAAAUGGCCAGGCGCCUAAUAGGGAUUUCUGUUGCAAAGACUUCACAUUCCCUCAAGGAUGUGACAUAAACAGUGCUGCUGCACAAAAAAAUUGUGCUAUAUUUUGCAAUGGAGGUUGUUCUGGUGCAACUGGGGCCUGUUCAGCGAGGGCAGGGAAGACCUUCUGCCAGUGUGGCCCAGCAAGACCUCCAGGAAGAUGUCCGUGAUGAACAAAAGAUUCUCCCUCUAGACCUUGCAGUAGCAAGUCUCAUGCACUGAGUUGCUUGCUCGAUUUGGAUUCCCUUGAUAAUGUUUAUGAGUGAUCCAUUCUAAUAAAAAGGGUCAAAACUUAUUGAUCAACUUGCUUAUAUACUUGUAUUGAAAGGCAUGAUUUUUUUUUUCUUUUCAAUUAGUUUCAAUUCCUUUUAAAUAGGACCAUUUGAAUAUGAGGGGGAAAGAUCCUCUCCAAUCAAUUGGGCCUCCAAUUAAUGAUCCAACGGUUAGGAGGACCUGAGGAUAUGGACCCAUUGUUUGUUGAUUCCGGAUCAAGUCCUCGUACAAGAGUGGUAUGGUACCAAAUCCAAACUUGGAUUCCACUUACCACUUAAAGUGAAAACUAAUUGAAAGAAGAGAGAUUAAGUGGAAUAGAAGUGUGGAUCAGGCAAAGUACUAGAAUCACUUUGAGUGGAACCUAAGUGUGAAUCAUAUGCCGUAUAAGAAUGAUUCUCAUUCGAAGACCUAAUUGAAGAUAUUCCUUUUGAGCCCUAACGUUGUUGAAAUGGAAGAGGACUUCGCAGUUGAUAAUGUGCGGUGCGGUAAAGCCCACAAAAUUCUCCGUACCAACAAGACCAAGGCAUUUUCAGAGUUGAUUUUUGAUAGGUACACAGCUGCAAGAGUCGAGACCUUCUGAAGAGGACCUGGGUACCCUGGGCUGGGCCUGAGUUUAAGCCCAACUCAGCACUACCUGGUGGCAGUAGCACCCUUAAUAUGUACUGUGCUUUUCUAUUCACAUUGUCCAGAUCAAACCGUGGAUGAACCGUGGUUGAUGGUAUUAAUUACUUUAUUAUUAUAAAUAAUAUAUUUUUAAUGGAUUAAAAACACAAUAAAACACAAAGUUAUGUGAUGUGAGGAUUUGGCUUCUCUACAGCUCGAGGGUGUGCUGCCAAAAUGGUGGCGUGGGCUAGAUAGAUAAUACGUGGUAAUAGCCAGAUCUAACGGAAGGGAGCAGUGAAGAUAUAGGCAUUCAGUUAAAGGCAAGAAACAAGGAGAUUGGGCUAAACAAAAGGAAAAAAAAAAUAAAAAAAAUCUAUCCCUCUUUCCUCUUCCGUCUUCCCUCUUCGUCUCUCUCUAAGAUCUCCGUCAUCGGCUUGGACAAUGUCGGCAAACCAUCUUCACCUAAGAGCUCUUCAGCAUCGGCAAUGUCGGCAUGGCAUAUGAAUAUAGAAAAGGCUACAAUGGAGGAAAUCCAAUUUCGUAAAGAUCAAAGAAGAAAAAGAGCAAACUAAAUUGCCCAAACUCUCGACAAUCCCGAUAAGAAUAGAAUAUACUACUAUUAUGAAAAGAAUGAAUCAAAUCAGAUAAAAUUAACAAGAGGGGAGAUUGGAAAAAAAAAAAAGAAAAAUAGGGUGGAGAUUGAAGAAUCACAAUUGAAAAGAAGGGAUCAACAGAUCAACGGAAUAGGAAAAUAACUUAUAGUUAUAGAUCGGUCUCUAGAUUGGAUCCGUCAGCGAGAUAUUCACAUCAGAGACAGAAAAGGAAGAGACAGAGAGUCUAAUCUGACUGUUAGUCAACAGAGCCAAAUCUAAGGAGAGGAUAGGGGACAUAGAAGCAGGUUAAGUCUAGAGCGGCCGAUGAUCUGACGGAGACCGAUGGUUACGAUGCAGAGGUUGGAUCCGGCGGUGAUGGAGUAAUCAAUAGAGGCGAUGAUCUUGUCACGAGAGAGGAAUGCGGUGGCGUGCUAGAGGUCGAGCAUCUCACCGUAGAGCAUGUCAGGGUUAACAUCAACGAGGACGAUUUCUUCGAAGAGAUCUUGGGUGAGGAUGGUCUGGGCAAUGGCCAUGUCGACAUUGCCGGUGCUGGAGAUCUGAAAGAAACGAAGAGGGAAGAGGGAAGAGGGAAAGAGGGAGAGGGUUUUUUCUCCUUUGUUUAUCCCGAUCCCAUGUUUCUCACCUUCAACCGAAUACCUGUAUCUUCAGUACUCCCCUCCCUUAGAUCCAGAGACCACCAUGUGCCAUCCAUCUAGCCCGGGCCACCAUAUUGGCAGCACCCUUGGGCUGUAGAGGAGCCAAAUCUCCCCAAGAGACUUAAUAGUCCUUUUGCUUAGGAGUUAGGACUCGGGAUCCUUGUACAGUUGGACACUAAUCAAGAUAAUGAGAUUCAAUCAGACAAUUUUCAAGUUUUACGAAUCCCAAAUAUACAUUAAAAAUAAGGGAUGAUAAAAAUAUGAGUUUCUCUUUCUUCUGAAUGAAAUAUAUUUUAAUAAAUAAAUUAUUAAAUAUAGGUCUUUGUUCCCACAACCCAAACAGCUAGCUCGAAAUUUCAAUAUAUUUAUUUAGACUAUGCUUGGUAUGUAUUCCCAUUCUGAAAAUGGAGAAUGUGUUCUUAACUAAGAAUGAGAACACUGCUUGGAUAAAAUGUUUGUUUAAAAUGUAUUAUUGAUGUUAGAAUGUUCAGACAUUUUAGCAAACACCUUAUGGGUGGAAUCUAUUUUAUGAAAAUCCCUGGCAACAUUACAACCUAUAACACAAAUAAAAAAAUAAAAAUUUGAAUGGUUCCCUAGAUAGUAUUGCUUAAAUCGAUCCUCAAGUCCUAGGGAAUGGUGAAAACUAAGAUCCCUUGACAAAGGCAUCAAAUCAAACCCACGCUCUGCUGGAAACUAAGAACAUGGAGAAGAACCAAUUUCACCACUUAGCACAACAUCUUCAACAAUUCCAGUAGGUGGAGCGAAAAGAAAUGGUCCAUUAAGAUCAAAGCAUUUCAAAUAUGCUUCGAUGCCAAGGAAGCAAUUGAAUCUAACUUCCUAAACAAGCGAUUCUUCUUGUGCUUUGGACAUCUUCAUCCUCUAAAUCUGCUAUUGAGAUUCUCACACGUUGAAGCUAGUUUCCCUUCACAAAGCUUUCAUGAGAACCAAAGGGCUGAAGUCAGAAAAACCUGAAAAGGAAAAACCAUCAAUUUUCUCAAGCACACACCCAAAGCGUGGGUGGGGAGCAGCACAUAACAGUUUAUCUUAAGCCCCAGUUUCUCCAUUACAAAGCUCGCAAACCCUUAAUUUCAUCUCUAGAAGAACUACAAAAAUACUUAUAUAGAUCACUAGGAAAACAAGAGAUUCUAGGAUUUUUGGAUUCGAGAGAAGAUCUUAAGAAGGAGAAAAGGAGAGAGAUUUGGGGUGAGAGAAGCAGUUUUUAAAAAGAGAGAGAGAGAGAGAGAGAGAGAGAAGAAUAAUUUUUGGAGAUUUGAAAGAAUGAGAAGCUAUUCCUUGGGAGAGAAGGUGCCUUUAAUAAGAUUAGUGGUAGAGCUUUUUUCAUCGUGCUAUGCUGAAAGCUGGAAAAUGGAGAAUGUAGAAUGGAAAAAUAUCCCAUUCUAGAAUGGGCUGCAUUCUUGACUGUGUUCUAGAAUCUUGAGAAUGGAAAGCUUACCAAACAAUGUUUUAACAGUCCCGAAUGUGUUCCUGGUCCAGAACGCAUUCCAAGAAUGCAUACCAAAUACAACCAUAAUAUAUGUAGGUUGGGAUGGACUUAUUUCUUAAUUUAGGCUUGGAUUCACCAUGAAAAUCUUAUUACUCAAUUUCUAAGGAAAAUUAAUUCAUACUGAAUCAUCUGGUUCUACAUCUUUGCUGCUAUUCUGCCAACACCAAUGAUCACAAGUAUAUUUACAUUUUUAGGGGUGAGUUAAUUUUUUUCAAAAGUUAUAUGUUUUUUAUUUUGAAUUGAGAAAUUUCUAGACUAUCUCCUUAAUUGUUUGUGAUUAUAUUCAUCUUCGGCAUAUUGUUAUACAUAUUUUAUAACUAAUUUAUGAUAUGACAUGAUUACAACAUGAAAGAAGGUACUUAAUCUUCUUUUAGUAUAAGUAUUACUAUCAAGAGGGAUCCUCUAGAAAUGUGUAUAAGAAAUUAUGCUUCCAUUGUUAUCCACUCUAGGCUGUGUUUGGUAGCCAAGAGAAGAAAAGAAAAGAAAUGAAAAGAGAAAAGGAGCUAGAAAAGAGAAGAAAGGAAAAUAAUAGAAAUGAAAUAAAAUGGAAAGAAAAAAAAAUUGUGUUUGCUUGGCUACCAUCAGAAGAAAAGAAAAGAAAAAAUUUUCUAUUCUCUUGUGUUUUCUUAUGUUUUAGGCUAGACUUUUUCUUUUUGGUAGCACAAGAAAUUCAUUAUUCCCAAGGUGGAUUUUGAAAAUAAAAAAAAUAAUCUCUCUUGAUUCAGGACAUACCAAAGAUAAUGAGAAUUUCUUAAACUAAGAAAAUAAUACAAUUUUUGUACUUCGUUCUUCUCUUGGUUACCAAACACAACCCAACAGAAUAUUAUACUCCUGUUCUUGUUCACCACAUCUAAAUUUAUGAAAGAAAAUGAUGUUCUUAGGAUUCUGAGUCCUUUUUUGUACUUACAUUGGCAAGUUCCUAUAAGGGUGAGACUUCUUGUAAAUUUCACUUCCUCAUUAACUUAUAACUUGUGAACUGCCCUAAAAUCGUGGUUGAAUUUUAAGAUUAUAAGAGAAAAUUUCACUCCUCUCCCCUAAAUGUUUCACUUAUUACACUCCCAUCCCCUAUGAAGUUUAAAGUUACAAUUGUACGUGGUAGUGUUAACACUAUUAGAGUCAUUUGUUAAAUGUUAACACUAUAGACAAGCUUCAAUGCAACUCUGGUACCUUCUGAAACAUGAUCACAUAACCGCACUACACCACCAUGGACGCAUAAAAGAUAAUCAGAAAAAACAAUUGCAUAAUAUACCACUAUUGGAAACAGUUCUGAGAGCAAAUAGAUACCAUUCAAGAGAUCUACAUACUUUCAUAGACAUGAAAUAUAAAUCAUUAUUCACAGUAAUCCUGCAUAAAGGAUGACACACAGGGAGAGAAUGGGGCUAGGGUUCUGACCUAGGGACUGUACUCUUCUCCUGAACAAAUGGAGAGGGAUCGAUCUAGGGACUGUUCCUUUCUCAAUGGAAGAGAAAUAGAGAAGAGGAAGGGAGGAGGGAUUAAUGUCUACUGAAAUCCUCUAGUGAAGGAGACGGAGACAACGAUGGAAAAGAAAGGGGUUGUGAUGCCUCACUAGGGUUUAGUUGCCUGUGAAAUCGUCCAAUUGUGCAGAGAUUUGCUUAACCCUAAAAUCCAAAUCGAUGAGAAGUUUUUUUCAAGGAAGAAGAUGAAGCUAAUGUUGUAAUCUCCAUUCAACUAGGGUUAUUUUAGGGUUUAGAGUGUAAUUGUACAUCAUGUGUCAUCACUUAAUAGUGGGCCACUCAUGGUCAGGGUAUGAUUGAUAAAAUCUACAACAUUAGAGGGAUACGAUUGUAACUUUAAACUUCACUGGGGAUGAGAGUGUAAUAAAUGAAACAUUCUGGGAAGGGGAGUGAAAUUUUCUCUCAAUAAAAUGGACCUUACUAUCUAUAUCUCAAAAAAUCAUAUUUUCUCCAUUAUCUGAGCAAAUAUGUCUACCUUUCCCUCAACUGUGAUUUCUUUUUUUUUAUUAAACAAAGGUGUUCGAGCCAGCUUACGUGCAUUUCGACUAAUCAUCGGGAAGACUAGUGCAGCAACUCAUUGGCAUGGUCACCACUUCUUUGAGUGUGAUUUCAAUGGUUGCAUGUUUUGAUUUAAUACAUUGUGACAUUUGGGGACCAUAUUUUAUACCCACCCUAUGUGUUGCUUUCUAUUUUCUCAGAAUAUUGGAUGACUUUUUCUGAUGCA
Macadamia integrifolia is the source of this 6010-nucleotide long non-coding RNA. RefSeq lists it as uncharacterized. The record is from RefSeq and is a predicted model, not a curated record. The transcript has 3 exons. NCBI's taxonomy places the organism in Eukaryota, Viridiplantae, Streptophyta, Magnoliopsida, Proteales, Proteaceae.